CCUACGGGGUGCAGCAGUGAGGAAUAUUGGUCAAUGGGCGUAAGCCUGAACCAGCCAAGUCGCGUGGGGGAUGAAGGUUCUAUGGAUCGUAAACCUCUUUUAUAGGGAAGUUAAUGGCGGGACGUGUCCCGUUUGGUAUGUACCUUAUGAAUAAGGAUCGGCUAACUCCGUGCCAGCAGCCGCGGUAAUACGGAGGCACCGAGCGUUAUCCGGAUUUAUUGGGGUUAACGGGUGCGUAGGGGGCCUUUUAAGUCAGCGGUGAAAGUCUGUGGCUCAACCAUAGAAUUGCCGUUGAAACUGGGAGGCUUGAGUAUGUGUGAGGUAGGCGGAAUGCUUGGUGUAGGGGUGAAAUGCUUAGAUAUCAAGCAGAACCCUGAUUGCGAAGGCAGCCUGCCAAGCCAUGACUGACGCUGAUGCACGAAAGCGUGGGGAUCAAACAGGAUUAGAUACCCCUGUAGUC
This 460-nucleotide ribosomal RNA is filed under the name uncultured bacterium. Its description in RNAcentral is "partial 16S ribosomal RNA". It matches the Rfam family "Bacterial small subunit ribosomal RNA", at positions 338 to 795 of the family's 1533-position model. The record is from RNAcentral.